CUUCCCCCUGCAAAGUAAGGGAAACGAAAUAGUGUGACAAAUAGAAACAUAGUUGCCAUACCUAAUAAUUAAAAAAAAUACAGAGAAUACUAUUAAAUUGAAAUAUAAAAAUGUUUCCCAACUUUUUAAAAGCCUUAGCAUGGACAAUACUCUAGUAUUUCUUAAUUAAAAACACAUAAGUAAUGUAAUAAAAUUUCCUGGCAACGACGCCAAACGUCUGUGGUUCUUUCUCCAGCUUUUCUGUUUGCAGAGUUGGUAGCUAUUUUAGGACGCGUCGUUUUUCUCUCCCUGGUUUAGUUAUUACUUGAAGUCAACGUAUACUGCGUAUGAAAAUGGAAAUUGGAGUUUAAAAUUUCAUAGUCAAAAAACGUUUUUCCUAGUAGUAAAGUGGAAAUCCUUUCGAUUGACCGUUUUCUUCUUGUAACCAAGAGACAGGCGAUACUAGCAAAGAAACCAUGCUCAACGCAGUGAAACAGAUGAAAAUUGGAUAUAUUAGCCUAAAUAAAGUUAGUCUACAGUCAGGAAUUCCACGCAAUACUUUGGCUCGAUAUCUUCACGAGUUCUCUGCUGAUGAAAUUCAUGGAGUUCUUCCAAUAACUAUAUAUGUUGGAUAUAAGACCACUAUUAGGUAUUACAGUUUGCUUUUUAUUAUUUUUACGAGCUUACAAAACCUAUCUGGAACACUAUCUGAAGAAAGUGUGUGAUAUCUACUUUGGUUUGACACCGACUGAAUUCAGGAAGAUGGCCUAUGAUUUAACUGUCUACUUGGACAUCAUUAUCCGAAGUGCAGGGCAGGAAAAAAAAUCUGCUCGCAGAGACGGUGUUCUCUGAUCUCGUACGAAUUUUAUCUCAUGCCAUCUAUCUCGUACCGGUACGAGAUCAUCGGUACGAGAUUGGAGCCUCCAAGCAGUCUGUACGAUAUUAUCGGCUCUUGACAGAAGAAAUCUUCUAUGUCGUAGAAGAGCCACUAAUCUAAACCAACCACUCGGCAUUGCUCCAAGACGCACAAUGAAAUUUGAGGGAAACUGCCCAGCUUUAUAUACGGUCGCGGGGGGUGAGCGC
Molecule: long non-coding RNA, 1062 nt
Organism: Daphnia magna
Lineage: Eukaryota; Metazoa; Arthropoda; Branchiopoda; Diplostraca; Daphniidae
Exons: 3
Source: RefSeq, a predicted model, not a curated record